UAUGUGAUCGUCUCUCGCAUAUCAAUAAGCGGAGGAAAAGAAACUAACAAGGAUUCCCUAGUAACGGCGAGUGAAGCGGGAAGAGCUCGAAUUUGAAAUCUUAAAGGUUUUCCCUUGACGAAUUGUAGUUUAAAGAAGUGUUUUCUGUUGAAGUUUUGGUAAAAGUUCUUUGGAAUAGGACAUCAUAGAGGGUGAGAAUCCCGUAUUUGACCAUUUACUUUUCAGCUGUGUGAUACACUUUCAAAGAGUCGGAUUGUUUGGGAAUGCAGUCCAAAUGGGUGGUAAAUUUCAUCUAAAGCUAAAUAUUGGCGAGAGACCGAUAGCGAACAAGUACCGUGAGGGAAAGAUGAAAAGAACUUUGAAAAGAGAGUUAAACAGUACGUGAAAUUGUCAAAAGGGAAGCGUUUGACACCAGUGUUGUUUUCUCGAAAAUCAAUUAAAAAUGGCUCGAUUUUGUAUUGCUGAGACCUUAAAAGCUCACUGUACAUUUUUCGUGUCUUUUUUAAUGCACUUUUCGUUUAACAAGUCAACAUCAAUUUCUUUUGUUGUAAAAGGGUCAUUGGAAGGUGGCUUUCUUUUCGGAGAAAGUGUUUAUAGCCUUUGGCCUCUGCAAUCGAAGAGACUGAGGUCUGCAGCGUAGACUCUUCGGGGUUAGAUACAUUUGUGCUAAGUUAUAGCUUUUUAUAGACAACUUGUUGACUAUAAUUAGUCUUGUAGCUUACUCGCUUAUGCUAUUUUACCUACGCUUAGGAUGUUGACGAUCAGCUGAGCGCG
Molecule: ribosomal RNA, 774 nt
Filed under: uncultured Neocallimastigales
Lineage: Eukaryota; Fungi; Neocallimastigomycota; Neocallimastigomycetes; Neocallimastigales
Description: partial large subunit ribosomal RNA
Rfam family: Eukaryotic large subunit ribosomal RNA
Source: RNAcentral